AUUGAACGCUGGCGGCAGGCCUAACACAUGCAAGUCGAGCGGAUGAAGGGAGCUUGCUCCUGGAUUCAGCGGCGGACGGGUGAGUAAUGCCUAGGAAUCUGCCUGGUAGUGGGGGAUAACGUCCGGAAACGGGCGCUAAUACCGCAUACGUCCUGAGGGAGAAAGUGGGGGAUCUUCGGACCUCACGCUAUCAGAUGAGCCUAGGUCGGAUUAGCUAGUUGGUGGGGUAAAGGCCUACCAAGGCGACGAUCCGUAACUGGUCUGAGAGGAUGAUCAGGUAACAUGGAACCGAGAACACGGUCCGACCCCCUAGGGAGGGCGCCGGUGGGAAUUUUUGAACAUGGGCCAAAGCCCUAUCCCGCCCUGGCGGCGGGUGGAAGAAGGUCUUCGGAUUGUAAAGCAAUUUAAGUUGGGAGGAAGGGGCGGAAGUUUAAUCCCUGCCUUUUUGACGGUACCAACAGAAAAAGCACCGGCUAACUUCGUG
This 484-nucleotide ribosomal RNA is filed under the name uncultured bacterium. RNAcentral's name for it is "partial 16S ribosomal RNA". It matches the Rfam family "Bacterial small subunit ribosomal RNA", at positions 30 to 507 of the family's 1533-position model. The record is from RNAcentral.